This 587-nucleotide ribosomal RNA is filed under the name Phaeosphaeria pontiformis. RNAcentral's name for it is "eukaryotic LSU rRNA". The stretch from base 217 to 370 matches the Rfam family "5.8S ribosomal RNA". The record is from RNAcentral. Lineage: Eukaryota; Fungi; Ascomycota; Dothideomycetes; Pleosporales; Phaeosphaeriaceae.
GUAGUGACCUGCGGAGGAUCAUUACAAUUCAGUAGCUUGCUACUGUCGGGAGGUGCUGUAAGUCCGCAUAGUUUUAUUACUGAUGAGCGGCAGGCCCUCUGUCUGUACCCUUGUCUUUUGCGCACUCAUGUUUCCUCGGCGGGCUUGCUCGCCGAUAGGACAAACUUUAUAACCUUUUUAAUUUUCAAUCAGCGUCUGAAAAAACUUAAUAAUUACAACUUUCAACAACGGAUCUCUUGGUUCUGGCAUCGAUGAAGAACGCAGCGAAAUGCGAUAAGUAGUGUGAAUUGCAGAAUUCAGUGAAUCAUCGAAUCUUUGAACGCACAUUGCGCCCCUUGGUAUUCCAUGGGGCAUGCCUGUUCGAGCGUCAUUUGUACCCUCAAGCUCUGCUUGGUGUUGGGUGUUUGUCCUCUCCUCUGCGUUUGGACUCGCCUUAAAGCAAUUGGCAGCCAGUGUUUUGGUAUUGAAGCGCACCACAUUUUGCGAUUCUAGCCGACAAUACGUGCGUCCAUAAGCCUUUUUUCACUUUUGACCUCGGAUCAGGUAGGGAUACCCGCUGAACUUAAGCAUAUCAAUGACCGGAGGAA